Molecule: ribosomal RNA, 638 nt
Filed under: uncultured Bacteroidales bacterium
Lineage: Bacteria; Pseudomonadati; Bacteroidota; Bacteroidia; Bacteroidales
Description: bacterial SSU rRNA
Rfam family: Bacterial small subunit ribosomal RNA
Source: RNAcentral
UAGCAUACCGCUGACGACCGGCGCACGGGUGAGUAACACGUAUCCAACCUACCCCUCUCAGAGGGAUAGCCUUUCGAAAGAAAGAUUAAUACCCGAUCUUAUAGCGAUAAGGCAUCUUAUUGCUAUUAAAGAAUUUCGGUGUUUGAUGGGGAUGCGUUCCAUUAGAUUGUUGGUGAGGUAACGGCUCACCAAGUCUUCGAUGGAUAGGGGUUCUGAGAGGAAGGUCCCCCACAUUGGAACUGAGACACGGUCCAAACUCCUACGGGAGGCAGCAGUGAGGAAUAUUGGUCAAUGGACGAGAGUCUGAACCAGCCAAGUAGCGUGAAGGAUGAAGGCCCUAUGGGUCGUAAACUUCUUUUAUAGGGGAAUAAAGUGCGGAACGUGUUCCGCUUUGUAUGUACCCUACGAAUAAGGAUCGGCUAACUCCGUGCCAGCAGCCGCGGUAAUACGGAGGAUCCGAGCGUUAUCCGGAUUUAUUGGGUUUAAAGGGAGCGUAGGUGGACGUAUAAGUCAGUUGUGAAAGUUUGCGGCUCAACCGUAAAAUUGCAGUUGAUACUGUAUGUCUUGAGUGUACAAGAGGUGGGCGGAAUUCGUGGUGUAGCGGUGAAGUGCUUAGAUAUCACGAAGAACUCCGAUUG